CUAGGGAAGAUAAUGACGGUACCUAACGAAUAAGCAUCGGCUAACUCCGUGCCAGCAGCCGCGGUAAGACGGAGGAUGCAAGCGUUAUCCGGAAUCAUUGGGCGUAAAGCGUACGUAGGCUGUUAGAUAAGUCUGUUGUCAAAGCUCGAGGCUCAACCUUGUAAAGGCAAUGGAAACUGUUAGACUAGAGAGAGAUAGGGGCAGGGGGAAUUCCAGGUGUAGCGGUGAAAUGCGUAGAUAUUUG
Molecule: ribosomal RNA, 244 nt
Filed under: uncultured Pseudanabaena sp.
Lineage: Bacteria; Bacillati; Cyanobacteriota; Cyanophyceae; Pseudanabaenales; Pseudanabaenaceae
Description: partial 16S ribosomal RNA
Rfam family: Bacterial small subunit ribosomal RNA
Source: RNAcentral